AUUUCUGAGUGCUUAGCCAGGAGUAACCCCUGAGCAUCAAACGGGUAAAGAAAGAAAGAAAGAGAAAGAAAGAAGAAAGAAAGAAAGAAAGAAAGAAAGAAAGAAAGAAAGAAAGAAAGAAAGAAAGAAAGAAAGAAAGAAAGAAAGAAAGAAAGAAAGAAAGAAAGAAAGAAAGAAAGAAAGAAAGAAAGAAAGAUGGAAGAAAGAAA
Molecule: long non-coding RNA, 209 nt
Organism: Suncus etruscus (white-toothed pygmy shrew)
Lineage: Eukaryota; Metazoa; Chordata; Mammalia; Eulipotyphla; Soricidae
Exons: 2
Source: RefSeq, a predicted model, not a curated record